Molecule: ribosomal RNA, 406 nt
Filed under: uncultured bacterium
Lineage: Bacteria
Description: partial 16S ribosomal RNA
Rfam family: Bacterial small subunit ribosomal RNA
Source: RNAcentral
GACGAACGCUGGCGGCGUGCCUAACACAUGCAAGUCGAACGAGUGGCGGACUGGUGAGUGAUUUCUGGGAAACUGCCUGAUGGAGGGGGAUAACUGCUGGAAACGUUAGCUAAUACCGCAUAACAUCUGUUUGUCCCAGAUGGGAUUAGCUAGUAGGUGGGGUACAGGCUCACCUAGGCGACGAUCCCUAGCUGGUCUGAGAGGGUGACCAGCCACACUGGAUCUGAGACACGGUCCAGACUCCUACGGGAGGCAGCAGUGGGGAAUAGUGCACAAUGGGCGAAAGUCUGAUGGAGCCACGCCGCGUGUAUGAAGAAGGCUGUCGGGUUGGAAAGUACUUUCAGCGGGGAGGCGUUACCCGAAGAAGAAGCACCGGCUAACUCCGUGCCAGCAGCCGCGGUAAUAC